This 76-nucleotide transfer RNA is filed under the name Desulfobacter latus. Its description in RNAcentral is "tRNA-Thr". It matches the Rfam family "tRNA". From Rfam's summary of the family: Transfer RNA (tRNA) molecules are approximately 80 nucleotides in length. Their secondary structure includes four short double-helical elements and three loops (D, anti-codon, and T loops). Further hydrogen bonds mediate the characteristic L-shaped molecular structure. tRNAs have two regions of fundamental functional importance: the anti-codon, which is responsible for specific mRNA codon recognition, and the 3' end, to which the tRNAs corresponding amino acid is attached (by aminoacyl-tRNA synthetases). tRNAs cope with the degeneracy of the genetic code in two manners: having more than one tRNA (with a specific anti-codon) for a particular amino acid; and 'wobble' base-pairing, i.e. permitting non-standard base-pairing at the 3rd anti-codon position. The record is from RNAcentral. Lineage: Bacteria; Pseudomonadati; Thermodesulfobacteriota; Desulfobacteria; Desulfobacterales; Desulfobacteraceae. RNAcentral also lists the same sequence under 2 other names.
GCCGGCGUAACUCAGUUGGUAGAGUAUCUCACUCGUAAUGAGAAAGUCGUCCGUUCGAAUCGGAUCGCCGGCUCCA